This 156-nucleotide ribosomal RNA is filed under the name Brassica napus (rape). Its description in RNAcentral is "rRNA 5_8S_rRNA". It matches the Rfam family "5.8S ribosomal RNA". Rfam says of the family: 5.8S ribosomal RNA (5.8S rRNA) is a component of the large subunit of the eukaryotic ribosome. It is transcribed by RNA polymerase I as part of the 45S precursor that also contains 18S and 28S rRNA. Lineage: Eukaryota; Viridiplantae; Streptophyta; Magnoliopsida; Brassicales; Brassicaceae. The record is from RNAcentral.
GACUCUCGGCAAUGGAUAUCUCAGCUCUCGCAUAGAUGAAGAACGUAGCAAUAUGCGAUACUUGGUGUGAAUUGCAGAAUCCCGUGAACCAUCGAGUCUUUGACCGCAUGUUGCGCCCCAAGCCUUCUGGCCGAGGGCACGUCUGCCUGGGUGUCA